Acanthosepion pharaonis is the source of this 112-nucleotide non-coding RNA. The record is from the annotation of a GenBank genome assembly. Lineage: Eukaryota; Metazoa; Mollusca; Cephalopoda; Sepiida; Sepiidae.
UUACGGUCAUAUCACGUUGAAACCCCGUUUCUCGUACGAUCAACGGAGUUAAGCAACAUCGAGUCGAAUCAGUAUCUAGAUGAGUGACUACUUGGAAAUAACAGGUGCGGUA